This 915-nucleotide long non-coding RNA is filed under the name Struthio camelus australis. RNAcentral describes it as "lncRNA (ENSSCUG00000017609.1)". Lineage: Eukaryota; Metazoa; Chordata; Aves; Struthioniformes; Struthionidae. The record is from RNAcentral.
GGACUCUGCUGCAGGUAGUAGGUGCACACUGUGCUGACACUUCAGCAGCUCCCAGUGUGGCUUGUGUGGCCAGUGAGCCUUCCUGAGCCCUGGCAAACUACAUGGCUCACUGAUUACUGUCUUGCUUCUUCUAAGCCUAAUGAAACUUGACCUGGUGAGGUUUCUCUUUCCUUUUCCUUAGGUUUAUGGAAAAUGCUUUUCCCUUACUGAAACUUACCAAAUGCAACACUUAAUUUGGGAUGUCUGUGAUGAUAGAGAAGUACGGGGACGUUUUGGUUUGUUUGCACAACCCUAAACGGACUCACUCUGAAAUCUUUCACCUUUUGCAGAAUGGAGAUUUCAUCUUGAUGAGUUUAUCCCUUAACUUUAGUGGACCUACCACAAGGAUGAAUGUCAUCUUUAUAGAGGAAGAAAAAUUACAGAAAGAAUUUUAUAGUGCUGCAGCUUUUCAGUGUGGUGAAUUUAAGAAACAAAAGUGGUGACAGACUUAUCAGAAACAUUGGCUGAAAUGAAGCUGUUGAUCCAAACAUCCUCAUCAUCCUUUAUCCUGAAGCCAAAGCAAAAAUGAGACGUCCCAGUGGGUGUGGGCCAUGCUCAUCUUGCUGUAUCUAUUUCAAAGUGAAGCAAAACAUCUACUUAACUGAGCCUCAGCCUCUUGCUUGGAUUCUUCUGGGUGGCUGUCAGGCCAAGACUGAGGAAAGUGAGGGGCUUUCAACUACUGCAAGGAACACCAUGCAGAGCACAGCAAGGGCACUAGCAUCUAUGGGUCGAGCUCAAAUUCAGAGAAGAGGAGUUUCCCAAAUCCUAGCUGACUCUUCCAUGCACUUGGUCACUGAAGAUUAUCACUGUGGCACUAUCUCCUUUCCUCAGAGCUGGCAAGAGCUUAUUACUCACAGAAGUGCGGAUGAGGGCUGA